CCUACGGGAGGCUGCAGUGGGGAAUAUUGGACAAUGGGGGGAACCCUGAUCCAGCCAUGCCGCGUGUGUGAAGAAGGCCCUCGGGUUGUAAAGCACUUUCAGUGAGGAAGAACGCCUGGUGGUUAAUACCCAUCAGGAAAGACAUCACUCACAGAAGAAGCACCGGCUAACUCCGUGCCAGCAGCCGCGGUAAUACGGAGGGUGCGAGCGUUAAUCGGAAUUACUGGGCGUAAAGCGCGCGUAGGUGGCUUGAUAAGCCGGUUGUGAAAGCCCCGGGCUCAACCUGGGAACGGCAUCCGGAACUGUCAAGCUAGAGUGCAGGAGAGGAAGGUAGAAUUCCCGGUGUAGCGGUGAAAUGCGUAGAGAUCGGGAGGAAUACCAGUGGCGAAGGCGGCCUUCUGGACUGACACUGACACUGAGGUGCGAAAGCGUGGGUAGCAAACAGGAUUAGAUACCCGUGUAGUU
This 465-nucleotide ribosomal RNA is filed under the name Vreelandella stevensii. Its description in RNAcentral is "partial 16S ribosomal RNA". It matches the Rfam family "Bacterial small subunit ribosomal RNA", at positions 338 to 795 of the family's 1533-position model. Lineage: Bacteria; Pseudomonadati; Pseudomonadota; Gammaproteobacteria; Oceanospirillales; Halomonadaceae. The record is from RNAcentral.